RNAcentral lists this ribosomal RNA (301 nucleotides) under uncultured bacterium. Its description in RNAcentral is "partial 16S ribosomal RNA". It matches the Rfam family "Bacterial small subunit ribosomal RNA", at positions 509 to 807 of the family's 1533-position model. The record is from RNAcentral.
CAGUCGCCACGGUAAUACAGAGGGUGCGAGCGUUAAUCGGAUUUACUGGGCGUAAAGCGUGCGUAGGCGGCUUUUUAAGUCGGAUGUGAAAUCCCUGAGCUUAACUUAGGAAUUGCAUUCGAUACUGGGAAGCUAGAGUAUGGGAGAGGAUGGUAGAAUUCCAGGUGUAGCGGUGAAAUGCGUAGAGAUCUGGAGGAAUACCGAUGGCGAAGGCAGCCAUCUGGCCUAAUACUGACGCUGAGGUACGAAAGCAUGGGGAGCAAACAGGAUUAGAGACCCCGGUAGUCCCUGUCUCUUAUAC